AAAAGCAGAGGACAGAGCAGAAGAAGCUUUGGAAGGGAUUGCAGCCGAGACCUCUGCACAGCUAGUGGCAGAGAUACACCAUAGACCCGAGCAGCUCCGAGAAGACCCAGAGGGAUAGAGACGAUGACCCUGAAACCCCCCCAUGCAGACCCUGGACAUUCAAGUGCAGAGAACAGAAAACAAACCCAGAGUCCUGAGAGGAGCUGGAGGGAAGUCUUCCCCGCUGUGGAUGGACAUCGUGUCCUGUCCAGAGCCGCAGCAGGAAAACAGUGAGAAAUACACAAAACCACCCUCCCAGAAGUCACUGAAACUACCGUCCAAGGUGGAGGAGGCACCGCCUCCUUCAAGCCACGAUGGAGAGCAUGCAGCCCAGGGCCGGCCUCGUAGGCAGCGCUGGACGACGUCCUCGGGCCAGAGCUUGGCUUCACCGGGAGACCAGGAGGCAGCACAGAAGCAACAAGAGUAAGGUAAGCUCCUUCCUUUUCCCAUCCAGUGGCGCUCAGAUCGGGCGCCCCUCUCCACCUCUGCUGGUUGCUGGGCGGGGGCAGCCUGGGGGCAGGAGUGUCGGGCUCCCAGGGGCUCCCUCCCUGUUGGGCACAGCCGCCACCCCCUGCAGUGGCUGGAAGGUCUGAGAAGAGGCUCAGCUUUGGAAACUGGGCAGAGGAGCAUCACUUACUGGAAGGAGGGUGGCUGCUCCCCAGUGCCUGCCCCUGAGCCUCUGCCCCCACACCCCACUGGCUCAGCUCCACUGUGUUGAACCCAGCACCCUUGCACCUGCUGCCCUUGAACCCAACGCCCUCGCACCCAGCCCCCUGACACCCAGCAUCCUGGCACCCAGCGUCCUGGCACCCAGUGUCCUGGACCCAGCACCUUCAUACCCACUGCCCUCACACCCAACACCCUGGCACUCAGUGCCCUCGUACCCAGCGCCUUGGCACCCAGUGCCCUCGCGGAGCCUGGCCUCCUCCUCUCAGGCUUCUUCCCUCACCACCUUGCACAGUGCAGAAAUGGUCUUUCUGUGCAUCUGUCUCCUCUUGGCGUGCCUCGCUGUGAGUAACCCACUCAACAAAUGUUCACUGAGCACCUACCAAGUGUCGGGUGCUGUUUUAGGCACUGGAGAUACAACAUGAGCAAAAUGGACACAAAUCCUCAAGAGGGGAGACAGAAGAUAAGCAAAGUGAGCCCACGAAAUCUGCGCUAUGCCCGUUGGUGACACAUUCACAGAGGAAAUCAUAGCCAGGGACAGGGUGAGGUGCCAGUGUGGCUGGAGUGCAGGGAGCAGGGGGGUGGGAGGUGGUGGCAGAGGUCAUGCAGGGCCCCGGGGCCUUGUGAGGGUGAGGCCCUGGCUUGAGUGGGGUCACUGGCUGGUGAAGCUGGGACCAGGCAGCAGUGGGGGAGCAUCCGGGAGAGCUGGUGGGGGCCUGGGCCUAGUGGUACUGGGCAGGGGGAAGGCUGGCAGGAGUCUGUCAAGGUAGAGCAACAGAUGGGAGGUGUGUGGAGGGUGAGGGUUAGAGUUAGCUCACUCUGCAUCUUCCAGUUUGGUUGGAGAUGGAUGUGAGAUGGAUCUGCCCUGCAAAGCUCUGAGCUGGUGGCCAGAGGGGAGACGUAUCAGAAGCUGCCAAGGGAGCAGAUGCAGAUGAGUGGGAAGAGACCCAGAGACCAAGUCCUGGACCUUCCAAAGUUUUGGGGGCAGAAGAGGGCUUCAGGGAGUGAAUGGGGCAGCAGGGAAGGCAGGUGGUGGGGAGCAGAAGGGACGUGGGGCCUGGCAGUGCAUGCUUGCCAGCCUGCUGGCCUCUCGACCAAGCUGGGCUCCCUGCAGAGGUAGGUUCCCCACCUGCCAAGGCUUCCUGUACCUGAGCCCGAGCCCAUCCCACAGCUCUGAAACCUUGCAUCCUGACUGUGAAGAUUUGGCUCUAAAAAUAGGUGCCAUGUGGGGGAGGAGACAGGUGGGAAGCGGUGCCCCCGUCCCCCUGGCUGCCAGCGUCCUGGCACACAGCCGUCUGGCCUGGCAGUUCUCUCAGCUGGCAGAGGCCUGGUGCAUCCUGGCACAUCCCCAGGAGAAAGCAGGCUGGCAACUUGGCAGACCGCCCCCAGGGAGCCCCUGCCUCACCUCUACUGUGCAUGCCCCAAGAGCCAGCUGUGUGGCGUGAGCCUCACUGCCUGGUCGCCUGGCCCCACACCGGUCUUUCCAACCCCGGCACACCUUUGGGCAGGUCCUGUGAUCUGUCCAUGCUUCCCACUCCUCCUCCAGACAGUGCUCAUUCCGUGGGGCCAUGCAAGGAUCUCAAGGGUGAAAAUACGCCAAAGGCCUUAUGUGGCUGGGGUAGGUCAAGCUCAGUGGGUGUGGUGAUCCUCAUUGGCUUUCAUCCUCUCAGCUUUGCUCGGGGACCUUUCCUCCACCUGCACGCUGGUAUCACCUCCUCACCUGGCCUCCCAGGUGGCCUUCGGGUGCAUCCCCAGGGGCAGGUGAUGCAUCUCUGUGAUUCACUCUCCAACCUUUCGUGCAGCACAAUGACACCUCACCCCUGCUCUGUCUGUGUCAGGUGGGGCCACGUAGCAUCUUGGCCCAGUGCAAGGUGUGGCGACUGAGGUUUGCUCUGUUGAGCAGCAUCAUUGGUGCCUGAGGGGGGGCUCAUUCUGUGUCCCAGGAUGAGAAGUGCCACAGCCAGCCUGUCCCUGCCAACUAGUACUGUGAGCAAGAAGUAAACUUGGUUAGAAGCCCCAGGGUCGGGGUUGUUGGUUACUGUCGCAGAGCUGACCAGCACACCAGACAGCAUCAGCUUCCCGCCCGCUGCACAGACCCUUGUUUUUUUUUGUUUUUGUUUUUUGUUUUGUUUUGUUUUGUUUUUGCACAGACCCUUGUUAACAUCAGCUCUCCAGACAGUAAAUAGUAAAUGCACGGGUCUUACCUAUGUAGGCCAAUGAGAGUGCGCCGCCGUGUGAGCCCAUACUCUCCUCUUUCCAGGCAAGAUAGAACAUGCCCGUCACUUGGUACCUCCUUAAAAUCAAUUCCCCUACCCCAGUUCAAUCACCCCCUGAUUUCUCUCCUAAUGGGGCAACUGGACUGUUGCAGUAACAGGACCAUGGGGUACAUGCUUUCUGUGCCCAGUGUCGUGGCUUGUCAUGGUGUUCUUGGGAAGUGUGUGUGUUGUGAGUCACCACAUCUCAGGAUGCAGACACCCUUCCCAUAUGAACGCACUCUGGGUUGUGUGCACAUUUUAUGACGACAAGUACGGCUGCUGUGAAAUCUGGUGUACGAGACCCUUUGUGAGCACAUGGCUUCCCUUCUGGAAAUUCCCCUGUGAGUAAAACUGCUGGUUACAUACACAGUAUAUUUACUUUUGUAAGGAAUUUCCAAACUGGUUUCUCAAGUAGUUGGCCUAGUUUCAUGUUCCCACUGGCACGUCGAGGGUUCCACUGGUUCCCCUUCCUUGCUGACAUCGGAUAUGGUCAGGUUUUGUGUUUUCUGUUUUAAAUUGUAAUCUUUUUAGCUGAUGUGCAAUGACAGCCAGUUGGGAGUUUUAACUGGCAUUUCUCUGACGACCAGUGAUGUUGAGCGUCUUCUCAUGUGCUUGUUGGCCAUCAGUACCUUUUACACCAGUGUCUAUACACAUUUGGGCCGCAUCUUAUUGGGUGUUUGUAUUCUUAUUAAGAAUAUAUAAUGGGUUGGGACGCCUGGGUGGCUCAGCGGUUUAGUGCCUGCCUUUGGCUGAGGGUGUACUCCUGGAGACCUGGGAUCAAGUCCCACAUCGGGCUCCCUGCAUGGGGCCUGCUCCUCCCUCUGCCUGUGUCUCUGCCUCUCUCUCUCUCUCUCUCGUUCUGUCUCUCAAGAAUAAAUAAAUAAAAUCUUAAAAAAAAAAAAAA
RNAcentral lists this long non-coding RNA (3864 nucleotides) under Canis lupus familiaris (dog). Its description in RNAcentral is "lncRNA (ENSCAFG00000053521.1, ENSCAFG00805004663.1, ENSCAFG00845002788.1)". Lineage: Eukaryota; Metazoa; Chordata; Mammalia; Carnivora; Canidae. The record is from RNAcentral.